GACGAACGCUGGCGGCGUGCCUAACACAUGCAAGUCGAGCGAGCAGAUUUCCUUCGGGAAUGAAGCUAGCGGCGGACGGGUGAGUAACACGUGGGCAACCUGCCUCAUAGAGGGGAAUAGCCUCCCGAAAGGGAGAUUAAUACCGCAUAAGAUUGUAGCUUCGCAUGAAGUAGCAAUUAAAGGAGCAAUCCGCUAUGAGAUGGGCCCGCGGCGCAUUAGCUAGUUGGUGAGGUAACGGCUCACCAAGGCGACGAUGCGUAGCCGACCUGAGAGGGUGAUCGGCCACAUUGGGACUGAGACACGGCCCAGACUCCUACGGGUGGCUG
This 326-nucleotide ribosomal RNA is filed under the name uncultured Bacillota bacterium. RNAcentral's name for it is "bacterial SSU rRNA". It matches the Rfam family "Bacterial small subunit ribosomal RNA", at positions 28 to 351 of the family's 1533-position model. Lineage: Bacteria; Bacillati; Bacillota. The record is from RNAcentral.